CAAUGGCCGGUACANCGGGAAGCCAGGCGGCGACGCCGAGCGGAACCCGAAAACCGGUCUCAGUUCGGAUCGGAGUCUGCAACCCGACUCCGUGAAGCUGGAUUCGCUAGUAAUCGCGCAUCAGCCAUGGCGCGGUGAAUACGUUCCCGGGCCUUGUACACACCGCCCGUCAAGCCAUGGGAGCCGGGGGUGCUUGAAGUGCGUCGCCGCGAGGCGCGCCCUAGAGCAAAACCGGUGACUGGGGCUAAGUCGUAACAAGGUAAC
RNAcentral lists this ribosomal RNA (264 nucleotides) under uncultured bacterium. RNAcentral's name for it is "partial 16S ribosomal RNA". It matches the Rfam family "Bacterial small subunit ribosomal RNA", at positions 1228 to 1500 of the family's 1533-position model. The record is from RNAcentral.